UACGUAGGGGGCAAGCGUUAUCCGGAAUUACUGGGUGUAAAGGGAGCGUAGACGGUAAUGUAAGUCUGGAGUGAAAGGCGGGGGCCCAACCCCCGGACUGCUCUGGAAACUAUAUUACUAGAGUGCAGGAGAGGUAAGCGGAAUUCCUAGUGUAGCGGUGAAAUGCGUAGAUAUUAGGAGGAACACCAGUGGCGAAGGCGGCUUACUGGACUGUAACUGACGUUGAGGCUCGAAAGCGUGGGGAGCAAACAGG
This 253-nucleotide ribosomal RNA is filed under the name uncultured bacterium. RNAcentral's name for it is "partial 16S ribosomal RNA". It matches the Rfam family "Bacterial small subunit ribosomal RNA", at positions 524 to 776 of the family's 1533-position model. The record is from RNAcentral.